This 427-nucleotide ribosomal RNA is filed under the name Potamonautes sp. SAD-2004. RNAcentral describes it as "partial 16S ribosomal RNA". The stretch from base 302 to 427 matches the Rfam family "Bacterial large subunit ribosomal RNA", at positions 2473 to 2599 of the family's 2925-position model. The record is from RNAcentral. Lineage: Eukaryota; Metazoa; Arthropoda; Malacostraca; Decapoda; Potamonautidae.
UUUAAUUGAAAUCUUGUAUGAAUGAUUGAACAAGAGAAAAACUGUCUUUAUAUUAAAGUUUGAAUUUAACUUUUAAGUGAAAAGGCUUAAAUACCCUAAAGGGACGAUAAGACCCUAUAAAACUUUACAUUAAUUGUUAAUAUUUUAUUUAAUUUUGUUAUUACGAUUUAAAUUUAAUUUUUUGUUAUGUUGGGGAGACAAAAGCUAUAAUUUAUAUUAACUGCUUGAAGAGAAAUCAGUAAAUUAGUGACUAAAUUGUUAUAGAUCCUUUAUAAAGACUGAAAGAUUAAGUUACUUUAGGGAUAACAGCGUUAUUUUUUUUGAGAGUCCAUAUCGAAAAAAAAGAUUGCGACCUCGAUGUUGAAUUAAAAUAUCUUUAUAAUGCAGGUGUUAUAUAAGAAGGUCUGUUCGACCUUUAAUUUUUUAC